This 1171-nucleotide long non-coding RNA is filed under the name Setaria italica (foxtail millet). Its description in RNAcentral is "long non-coding RNA (SITA_LNC001822)". Lineage: Eukaryota; Viridiplantae; Streptophyta; Magnoliopsida; Poales; Poaceae. The record is from RNAcentral.
CUGCUCCGACAUCGUGGUGUUCGCCGCCCGCGACGCGUCCAGCAUCCUGAGCAACGGGCACGUCCACUUCGACCCCCCCGCGGGGCGCCUCGACGGCCCCAUCUCCCGCGCCGCCGACGCACAGCGGGACCUCCCGGACUCCACCUUCACAAUCGGCGAGCUGAUCCGCAACUUCCGGCGCAAGAACUUCACGGUGGAGGAGCUGGUGAUCCUCUCCGGCGCGCACGCCAUCGGCGUCGGCCACUGCUCCUCCUUCCGCGGGCGGCUGUCCUCGCCGCCGAGCCAGAUCGUGCCGGCGUACCGGAACCUGCUGUCGGCGAAGUGCGCGGCGGGGCCCGACCCCGUGGUGACGAACAACGUGCGGGACGAGGACCCGAGCGCCGUGGCGGCGGCGUUCCCGUCGUUCCUGAAGAAGCUGAGGAAGAACAAGGACUUCCUGGACAACAGCUACUACCACAACAACCUGGCCCGGAUCGUGACGUUCAACUCGGACUGGCAGCUGCUGACGGAGAAGGAGGCGCUGGGGCACGUCAAGGAGUACGCCGAGAACGGGACGCUCUGGGACGAGGACUUCUCCGAUGCGCUCGUCAAGCUCAGCAAGCUGCCCAUGCCGCCCCACAGCAAGGGGGAGAUCAGGAAGCACUGCCGCUUCCUCAACCACCACUAGCAGCUUCCUUCGUUCCUUGGAUACUACUCCUACGUACUACAUAUACAUUAUCUGCAGGCUACUACAGCUGAAACUGUGAUUACUGUCUCGUUCGCUCUCGCAGAUCGUCGGUCGAUCGAUCGGUUCAUCAUUUGAUUGUUCAUUUUGCUGUUCUCGUCUAUGUGAUUCUUUCUUCUUUCUGGUGUUGGAGAUAAUGUGAUUGAUUUGUUGUAUGAUCUUUGUUUGUAUGGACAAAUUACGAAACAAGAGUGGGCAGGGUGUGUGCAUGAACUGCUGGUUGGACUUUGGACAGGAUCGGAGUCCAAUUUUCAUGUAAUAAGGAUGGUCCAGGGAAGUAAUUAAAGUUUUUUUUUGAGGAUUAUUGGGAAGUUAAAGUAGUUCAAGCUAGUUGUAAGUGAGCGUCAGUUGGCUGAUUGCCUGCCCUCCUCCAUAUGCAUGCCAUGAUGGGUGUACGGAAUAUCUUGGGUCUGGACACCGGAGAUCGCUGUGCGCACGCUCUGAAAG